Molecule: transfer RNA, 84 nt
Filed under: Candidatus Rifleibacteriota bacterium
Lineage: Bacteria; Candidatus Rifleibacteriota
Also listed under: 2 other names
Description: tRNA-Leu
Rfam family: tRNA
About the family: Transfer RNA (tRNA) molecules are approximately 80 nucleotides in length. Their secondary structure includes four short double-helical elements and three loops (D, anti-codon, and T loops). Further hydrogen bonds mediate the characteristic L-shaped molecular structure. tRNAs have two regions of fundamental functional importance: the anti-codon, which is responsible for specific mRNA codon recognition, and the 3' end, to which the tRNAs corresponding amino acid is attached (by aminoacyl-tRNA synthetases). tRNAs cope with the degeneracy of the genetic code in two manners: having more than one tRNA (with a specific anti-codon) for a particular amino acid; and 'wobble' base-pairing, i.e. permitting non-standard base-pairing at the 3rd anti-codon position.
Source: RNAcentral
GCUCGGGUGGUGAAAUUGGCAGACACGUAAGAUUCAGGUUCUUAUGCCCGCAAGGGUGUGGGGGUUCAAGUCCCCCCUCGAGCA